This is a non-coding RNA of Ictidomys tridecemlineatus (thirteen-lined ground squirrel), 70 nucleotides long. The record is from Rfam. NCBI's taxonomy places the organism in Eukaryota, Metazoa, Chordata, Mammalia, Rodentia, Sciuridae.
GGGGAUGUGGCUCAGUGGGAGAGCUCUUACCUGAGGUGCAUGAGACCCUGGGUUCAAUUCCCCUUCCCCC